This 1159-nucleotide long non-coding RNA is filed under the name Brassica napus (rape). Its description in RNAcentral is "long non-coding RNA (BNAP_LNC007019)". Lineage: Eukaryota; Viridiplantae; Streptophyta; Magnoliopsida; Brassicales; Brassicaceae. The record is from RNAcentral.
CGAAUGGGGCUGAUUUUGAUAAACCCGAAAAACCGAAACCCGAAUGGAUAAAACCGAAACCCGAUUGGGAUCCCGAAUGCCCAGGCCUAGGUGCAAUAAUAGAAAAAAAUAUAGAAAAUAUUAAAUAUUAAAAAUGUGAUGAUGUAUUACUUUUUUGUUUCUCACUUGAUGAUGACACACAAGAGAUCAAAUACUAUUUCUAUAUCUAUACGUUUUAAACCUAUUUUCAUUUUAAUAAGAUGACGUAGAAUCUGUCUUUCAUUAUAUUUCCUGAUAUAUAUAUGUGUGUGUGUGUGUGAAGUUUGUUUAUUAAGGACUCACUAGAUUUUGAUCCGCGCUUUUGAAGCGCGGAUUUGUUGGAUUAUAAAUAAAAACACACUUUGAUAUGAAUUAGUAUUUUGGGUGUUGUACAUUAUUAUAUUACAAAGUUGUAUAUAUCGAUGAAGAAAAUUUAUUUAAACUUAAUAAGUUUAUUUGAGAUUUUGUAUGUACACUUUUACGUAACUUUCUAUCAGAACUAAGCAUUUUAUCUGAACCUAAAAAAUCAAACCAAAACUGACACGGAAAUACAUAUUCAAUUUGUGUCCACGUCCAAGACAAAGUACAUAUUGGGUAUAUUUUUCGACCUGCGGGUUUCGAUUUAUGAGUCCUAUCUGAGAACCGAUCGGCUACCUAAAGUACCCAAUUUUUUUUUGUAUCUGGGUAUUUAAAAUAUGUUUUCGGUAUUAUGGAUAUUUUUAAGUUAAAAGAGUAAAGCUAUCAAAAUUUUACUUAUAUAUUUUGGGUAUUCGAAUAAAAUUUUGGGUAUUUUUCAAUUCUUUAGUUUAUAUUUCGGGUAAAAAAAUUGAGUCGUUUAAGAUAUUUGACUAUUUUUGGGUAUUUGUUUGAGCUUUCAAAAAAUUUCGUGUUUCAAAUAUUUUUUUGUUUUCGGGUAUUUAGAGUAUUUUUGUAUCCUAAAUAUCCAAACUAACAUGACCCGUCAUAUACUCAAAAAUUAUAAUUAUUUAAAUUAUUGAUGCGAACUGAUCCAGACAUGAAAAGAACCGAUCUGAAUCCGAACUGAAAAUAUUCAAAUACCUAGUUGGUCUAAUGUCUGGAAACCAAAAAGAAUCAUUCCAUACUUGGUCUGAGACCCGAAUUCUAAAGCUUACUCUCUCAC